AGUGAACGCUGGCGGUAGGCCUAACACAUGCAAGUCGAACGGCAGCACAGUAAGAGCUUGCUCUUACGGGUGGCGAGUGGCGGACGGGUGAGGAAUACAUCGGAAUCUACUUUUUCGUGGGGGAUAACGUAGGGAAACUUACGCUAAUACCGCAUACGACCUACGGGUGAAAGCAGGGGAUCUUCGGACCUUGCGCGAUUGAAUGAGCCGAUGUCGGAUUAGCUAGUUGGCGGGGUAAAGGCCCACCAAGGCGACGAUCCGCAGCUGGUCUGAGAGGAUGAUCAGCCACACUGGAACUGAGACACGGUCCAGACUCCUACGGGAGGCAGCAGUGGGGAAUAUUGGACAAUGGGCGCAAGCCUGAUCCAGCCACACCGCGUGGGUGAAGAAGGCCUUCGGGUUGUAAAGCCCUUUUGUUGGGAAAGAACAGCAGCAGGUUAAUACCCCGCUGUUCUGACGGUACCCAAAGAAUAAGCACCGGCUAACUUCGUG
This 492-nucleotide ribosomal RNA is filed under the name uncultured bacterium. RNAcentral describes it as "partial 16S ribosomal RNA". It matches the Rfam family "Bacterial small subunit ribosomal RNA", at positions 29 to 507 of the family's 1533-position model. The record is from RNAcentral.